GAAAUUUCCGACGGAAUUCCGAGGAAAUAUGAAUUUCCGAGGAGAUAUUUCCGAGGACUUUUUUCGUCGGUAUGUCCUCGGAAUAGCGUUAUUCCGACGAUAUACCGACGAUUUUUUCCUUCAGUAUGCCGAUGUUUUCUUGUAGUGUCUUACGAUUAAAUCAAUGUAUCAGACUAAGAAUAUAUAUAGAUCUAAAUUGGAUUAAACCAAUAUAAUACAACAAAGAGAAUUGAUGUUUCUAAUGCGACAAAGAUUUAUGGAUCACAAGAAAAUCAAUAGAGUUGAUACUCUAUUAAGAGUUGGACAUCAUUAUUCCUUAAUCGUGUUAAACUUUAUGCUCGACUCGUAUCCACCUUGAAAAGUUAAGUACUUGGCGUUGUGAAGACAAGUAAUAAGCUGAAAAUUUUCAUUACUUGCAAGACCAAGUCAAAUAUCAUUAUAUUUUUUAAUAUUACUUAACUCGUUAAUGUCCCAUCACUUGAUACUUUUUACAUACUUGUUACUUGUCAAUAAUACUUGUCUUUUACUUACAUUUAUGGUUGGACACAAAUACUCAUUACUCAUUUUAUACUUGUUACUUGUUUUAUAUCGUCUUGACUCUUCAAGUACUUGUCAUGAUCAGUCGAGUAUUUAAUAGCAAAAUUUAGAUACUUACAAGUAUAUUUUUUUUGAACAAAGAUACUAACAAGUCCAAAACAAGUAACAAGUUUUUAAAAAUAUUAGUUGUUUGGCGUGCAAAGUAGUAACAAGUACUCAUUUUUAACAAGUCAAAUACAAAUUUAAAUUUUUAUUACUCAUGCAAGGUAAAUCAAAUAUCUGAGUGUUCGCGUUAAAAACGACUUUUCAAUGAGAAUCAUCUUCUCACUCUAUUUCAUGAGUUUUGUUGUUUUUCUCAUCAUCUUACCUAUUUUAUUUGUAUUUUUAUUUUUAUUGUACGUCAUUGUAAAAUUUCUUACAAUAUCAUUAAUAACGUUAAGUUUUUAUAUAAUAAAACCUUAUGGGUUCAUUCUCACUCCUUAAAAAACUGCAAUAUGUAAUGCAUAUAAUUUAAUAAAUCACCUUUUGGCAAAUAAUAGUUAAUCUUAUUAUAUAAAUCUUGGUUCUUCAAAGUUGCUAAUUAACCUAAUCGCGACACAGGGAAAUUAUAUAUUUUAGGAUUGUAACAUGUGUCAAUCAUCUCAUAAUUAAAAAUAUAUAUACUAAGAUGUUAAUAAAAACAAAUUUUAUUAAAAAUAAUUAAAAUAUUAUUUAAUAGUAAUUUCCUUUUUUUAAAUCAUAAUCAAAAGAUAAUUGCAAAAGACUAUUUGGUAAUAAUUUUUCUUAUAAUGUUGUGAAAUAUGUUUAAAUAUAUAAUAAUUUAAAAUAUAUAUAAUAAGAUAAUAAAAACAAAUUUUGAUAAAAACUACUUUAAAAAUUAUUUAAUAGUAAAAAAUAUUUUUUUUAAAAUACUUUGUAGUAAUUAUUUUAGAAAUUUUCUUAUUUUAAAAUCCUAAAAAAAUAUGUGAAAACAAUUU
This is a long non-coding RNA of Brassica rapa (field mustard), 1514 nucleotides long. RefSeq lists it as uncharacterized. Lineage: Eukaryota; Viridiplantae; Streptophyta; Magnoliopsida; Brassicales; Brassicaceae. The record is from RefSeq and is a predicted model, not a curated record.